RNAcentral lists this ribosomal RNA (253 nucleotides) under uncultured bacterium. Its description in RNAcentral is "partial 16S ribosomal RNA". It matches the Rfam family "Bacterial small subunit ribosomal RNA", at positions 524 to 776 of the family's 1533-position model. The record is from RNAcentral.
UACGGAGGAGGCAAGCGUUAUCCGGAAUUAUUGGGCGUAAAGAGCUCGUAGGUGGUUUGUCGCGUUGUUCGUGAAAACUCACAGCUCAACUGUGGGCGUGCGGGCGAUACGGGCAGACUUGAGUACUGCAGGGGAGACUGGAAUUCCUGGUGUAGCGGUGGAAUGCGCAGAUAUCAGGAGGAACACCGGUGGCGAAGGCGGGUCUCUGGGCAGUAACUGACGCUGAGGAGCGAAAGCGUGGGGAGCGAACAGG